AUCCUCCAAGUAUGAAAAUGGAAUUCUCCGGCCAAAGGUGUCGUUAGCCAUGCAGAGAAAAGUGAGGCCAUCCGAUCUGAGAAUGUGAAAUAUAUAGCGAUCUUGCGAAAAGCACAGCCUAGAAUCAGCCUCAGAUGGAAGUUUCUCGAGGAUCCGCCUAGCCACCGACCCUGUGUUCCCCGUCACCGCGCUGAACUCCGCCAGCACCACCGUGCCCCGCGCCACCACCGCGUACACGAUCGCCAUCUCUAUCUAAAUUUCGUGUCUCUGUAUGCGUAUACGUUUACUACAUGGAAGAGAGGUUUCUCUCUGUUUUUUGUUUUCCUUUUUGAAUAUUUUCUUGGGAUUUCAGCCUUUGGAAGCCAAUAUAAGAAGUAAGAAAUUAAGUUGACAAACGACAGGCUCGAGUGGAGCCUGCCAGAGAUGCCACCGGCAAGUCUACACACGGCGGUUUUAAGGUUCGUGGGAUUUGGUA
Molecule: unclassified non-coding RNA, 475 nt
Filed under: Hevea brasiliensis (rubber tree)
Lineage: Eukaryota; Viridiplantae; Streptophyta; Magnoliopsida; Malpighiales; Euphorbiaceae
Source: RNAcentral